GUGAACGCUGGCGGUAGGCCUAACACAUGCAAGUCGAACGGCAGCACAGUAAGAGCUUGCUCUUACGGGUGGCGAGUGGCGGACGGGUGAGGAAUACAUCGGAAUCUACUUUUUCGUGGGGGAUAACGUAGGGAAACUUACGCUAAUACCGCAUACGACCUACGGGUGAAAGCAGGGGAUCUUCGGACCUUGCGCGAUUGAAUGAGCCGAUGUCGGAUUAGCUAGUUGGCGGGGUAAAGGCCCACCAAGGCGACGAUCCGUAGCUGGUCUGAGAGGAUGAUCAGCCACACUGGAACUGAGACACGGUCCAGACUCCUACGGGGGGCAGCAGUGGGGAAUAUUGGACAAUGGGCGCAAGCCUGAUCCAGCCAUACCGCGUGGGUGAAGAAGGCCUUCGGGUUGUAAAGCCCUUUUGUUGGGAAAGAAAAGCAGCAGGUUAAUACCCCGCUGUCCUGACGGUACCCAAAGAAUAAGCACCGGCUAACUUCGUG
RNAcentral lists this ribosomal RNA (491 nucleotides) under uncultured bacterium. Its description in RNAcentral is "partial 16S ribosomal RNA". It matches the Rfam family "Bacterial small subunit ribosomal RNA", at positions 29 to 507 of the family's 1533-position model. The record is from RNAcentral.